This 497-nucleotide ribosomal RNA is filed under the name uncultured bacterium. Its description in RNAcentral is "partial 16S ribosomal RNA". It matches the Rfam family "Bacterial small subunit ribosomal RNA", at positions 28 to 507 of the family's 1533-position model. The record is from RNAcentral.
GAUGAACGCUGGCAGCGUGCCUAAUACAUGCAAGUCGAGCGAACAGACGAGGAGCUUGCUCCUCUGACGUUAGCGGCGGACGGGUGAGUAACACGUGGAUAACCUACCUAUAAGACUGGGAUAACUUCGGGAAACCGGAGCUAAUACCGGAUAAUAUAUUGAACCGCAUGGUUCAAUAGUGAAAGACGGUUUUGCUGUCACUUAUAGAUGGAUCCGCGCCGCAUUAGCUAGUUGGUAAGGUAACGGCUUACCAAGGCAACGAUGCGUAGCCGACCUGAGAGGGUGAUCGGCCACACUGGAACUGAGACACGGUCCAGACUCCUACGGGAGGCAGCAGUAGGGAAUCUUCCGCAAUGGGCGAAAGCCUGACGGAACAACGCCGCGUGAGUGAUGAAGGUCUUCGGAUCGUAAAACUCUGUUAUUAGGGAAGAACAAAUGUGUAAGUAACUAUGCACGUCUUGACGGUACCUAAUCAGAAAGCCACGGCUAACUACGUG